CACGGGUGAGUAACACGUAUGCAACCUGGCCGUGACAGAUGGAUAACCGGGAGAAAUCCCGCCUAAUACAACAUAAUGCCGGGAGGGGACAUCCCCUGCCGGUCAAAGGGGGCGACCCCGGUCACGGAUGGGCAUGCGGCGCAUUAGGUAGUUGGUGGGGCAACGGCCCACCAAGCCGACGAUGCGUAGGGGUUCUGAGAGGAAGGUCCCCCACACUGGUACUGAGACACGGACCAGACUCCUACGGAAGGCAGCAG
This 257-nucleotide ribosomal RNA is filed under the name uncultured bacterium. Its description in RNAcentral is "partial 16S ribosomal RNA". It matches the Rfam family "Bacterial small subunit ribosomal RNA", at positions 100 to 354 of the family's 1533-position model. The record is from RNAcentral.